UACAGAGGUCUCAAGCGUUGUUCGGAUUCAUUGGGCGUAAAGGGCGCGUAGGCGGCGGGGUAAGUCGGGUGUGAAAUCUCAGAGCUCAACUCUGAAAUGGCACUUGAUACUGCUCUGCUAGAGGACUGGAGAGGAGAUUGGAAUUCACGGUGUAGCAGUGAAAUGCGUAGAUAUCGUGAGGAAGACCGGUGGCGAAGGCGGCUCACUGGUCCGGUACUGACGCUGAUGUGCGAAAGCGUGGGGAGCAAACAGG
RNAcentral lists this ribosomal RNA (253 nucleotides) under uncultured bacterium. RNAcentral's name for it is "partial 16S ribosomal RNA". It matches the Rfam family "Bacterial small subunit ribosomal RNA", at positions 524 to 776 of the family's 1533-position model. The record is from RNAcentral.